RNAcentral lists this long non-coding RNA (1205 nucleotides) under Canis lupus familiaris (dog). RNAcentral describes it as "lncRNA (ENSCAFG00000057511.1)". The record is from RNAcentral. Lineage: Eukaryota; Metazoa; Chordata; Mammalia; Carnivora; Canidae.
GGGAGGAGCAGGCUCCAUGCAGAGAGCUUGUCGUGGGACUCGAUCCAGGGUCUCCAGGAUCACACCUUGGGCUGCAGGUGAUGCUAAACUGCUGCGCCACCAGGGCUGCCCAGUUAUGCUUAAAUAAUUAAUAAAUAAGAUAAAAUACCUCUCAGAAGUUUCUAGUAGGGCAAACUUUUUUUUUUUUAAGAUUUAUUUUAUUUGUUUUAGAGAGACAGAGAGAGUGCACUGUGAGGCAGCGGGAGGGGCAGAGGGAGAGGACCUCAAGUAGACCCCAUGCUCAGUGCAGAGCCUGACACCAGGCUCAAUCUCACCACUCUGAGAUCAUAACCUGAGCUGAAAUCAAGAGUUGGACACUCAACCAACUGAACCACCCAGGUACUCCUAGGGGCACUUUUUAAUAUUUGAUUUUUUCCCUCAUAUCUGUGAAAUGGAACUCUUUCCUCAAGUAUAUAUAUGUGCAAAAUAUCUGGUUCUGUUUUUCAAUAUUUGUGUGAUUUGUUUCCUUUACUUACCAAAAAAGCAGCACAAUGCUUGGUGGUCUUUGUAAUUUGGAAGGAGCAUAUACAUUUACUCCAGACCUUUAACUGAGUGGCCUAAAAGUUUGCCUUCCAGCUUAGAGUGGUUUUCAGAGCACAAGAAGGCUCUUUAGCUGGGCCAGCAGAUCUGCUGUAUAUCUUUUAAGACCCAUGAGAUCCAGUGAUGCUUGGGUGGUUCAGUUGGUUAAGCAUCUGACUCUUGAUCUCAGGAUUGUGAGUUCAAGCUCUGCAUUGGGCACCACACUGGGCAUGGAUCCUUCUUUUAUUUUAUUAUUUUAAAAAGAUUUUAUUUAUUUAUUUAUUCAUGAGAAAGAGAGAGAGAGAGAGAGACAGACAGACAGACAGAGAUGCAGGCAGAGGGAGAAGCAGGUUCCCCAGGAGGAGCCCAAUGUGGGACCCGAUCCCACCCCCUGAGCUAAAGGCAGACACUCAACCACUGAGCCACCCAGACAUCCAUGGAUCCUUCUUUUAAAAAAGAAGAAAAGAGGGGAGCCAGGAUGGCUCAGUCGGUUAAGCAUCUGACCCUUGAUUUUGGCUCAGGUCAUGAUCUCAGGGUAAUGAGAUCAACCCUCACCAUGUGCACUGGGUGUGAAGCCUGCUUAAGAUUCUCUCUCUCUCUCCCUCUGUACACCAACUUACACUCUCUCUCUAAAAAAAAAAAAAAAA